CGGUAUUUUGACCGUGCUAAGGUAGCAUAAUCAAUUGUUUUUUAAUUGAAAACUAGUAUGAACGGUUUAAUUUACUUAAUUAGUUUGUAAUUUUUAAUAGUAAGUUAAAUAUAAAGUAAGAAUUCUUUAAUAAAUUAGGGGACGAUAAGACCCUAAAAGCUUUAUGAUUGGCAUUUAAUUGGUGAUAGCGGUGUUAUUAAUUCACUGGGGCAGUGAGUUUAGGUAUAUUUAAGUAUAAUUAAAAGCUCCUUUAAAUAAAGAUUUCAUGUAUAAGUUACUUUAGGGAUAACAGUGCAAUAUAUU
RNAcentral lists this ribosomal RNA (303 nucleotides) under Dikerogammarus haemobaphes. Its description in RNAcentral is "partial 16S ribosomal RNA". Lineage: Eukaryota; Metazoa; Arthropoda; Malacostraca; Amphipoda; Gammaridae. The record is from RNAcentral.